Molecule: ribosomal RNA, 515 nt
Filed under: uncultured bacterium
Lineage: Bacteria
Description: partial 16S ribosomal RNA
Rfam family: Bacterial small subunit ribosomal RNA
Source: RNAcentral
AGCGAACGCUGGCGGCGUGCUUAACACAUGCAAGUCGAACGUGAAAGGGAGCAAUCCCAAGUAAAGUGGCGUACGGGUGAAUAACGCGUAGGUAAUCUACCCCAAAAUCUGAAUAACUUGCCGAAAGGCGGGCUAAUACUGGAUAGAGCGAUGGCAUCCGUAAUUAGGUUUUUCGGGAAAGGGAGGCAGCAAUGCCCCUCGUUUUGGGAUGAGCCCGCGUCUCAUUAGCUAGUUGGCGAGGUAAUAGCUCACCAAGGCUUUGAUGGGUAGCUGGUCUGAGAGGAUGAUCAGCCACACUGGAACUGAAACACGGUCCAGACUCCUACGGGAGGCAGCAGUGGGGAAUCUUGCGCAAUGGACGAAAGUCUGACGCAGCCACGCCGCGUGAGUGAAGAAGGCCUUCGGGUUGUAAAGCUCUGUCGGGCGGGACGAAAAUGCAUUAAGUGAAUAGCUUAGUGUACUGACGGUACCGCCAAAGGAAGCACCGGCUAACUCCGUGCCAGCCGCCGCAGUAA